RNAcentral lists this unclassified non-coding RNA (391 nucleotides) under soil metagenome. Its description in RNAcentral is "partial contains 5.8S ribosomal RNA, internal transcribed spacer 2, and large subunit ribosomal RNA". The stretch from base 1 to 122 matches the Rfam family "5.8S ribosomal RNA", at positions 35 to 154 of the family's 154-position model. The record is from RNAcentral.
GAUGAAGAACGUAGCGAAAUGUGAUACUUGGUGUGAAUUGCAGAAUCCCGUGAACCAUCGAGUCUUUGAACGCAAGUUGCGCCCGAAGCCAUUAGGCCGAGGGCACGCCUGCCUGGGCGUCACACGUCGUUGCCCCCCCAUCUAAUCCUUCGGGAUUGCGGGGGGCGGAUGAUGGCCUCCCGUGCGCCUCGUCGCGCGGUUGGCAUAAAUGCCAAGUCCUCGGCGACGCACGCCACGACAAUCGGUGGUUGCGAAACCUCGGUUGCCCGUCGUGUGCGGUCGUCGCGCAUCGAGGGCUCGAAAAAAUUGCCGGGCUCCGGCUCGACUUUCAACGCGACCCCAGGUCAGGCGGGGUUACCCGCUGAAUUUAAGCAUAUCAAUAAGCGGAGGA